RNAcentral lists this ribosomal RNA (292 nucleotides) under uncultured bacterium. RNAcentral describes it as "partial 16S ribosomal RNA". It matches the Rfam family "Archaeal small subunit ribosomal RNA", at positions 455 to 747 of the family's 1478-position model. The record is from RNAcentral.
GUGCCAGCCGCCGCGGUAAUACCGGCAGCUCAAGUGAUGUCCCAUAUUAUUGGGCCUAAAGCGUCCGUAGCUGGCCGACCAAGUCUCCCGGGAAAUCCACCCGCCCAACGGGUGGGUGUCCGACGGAAACUGCACAGCUUGGGACCGGAAGGCUCAGAGAGUACGUCCGGGGUAGGAGUGAAAUCCCGUAAUCCCGGACGGACUACCGAUGGCGAAAGCACUUCGAGAAAACGGAUCCGACAGUGAGGGACGAAAGCCAGGGUCUCCAACCGGAUUAGAUACCCGGUAGUCC